Molecule: long non-coding RNA, 679 nt
Organism: Xiphophorus hellerii (green swordtail)
Lineage: Eukaryota; Metazoa; Chordata; Actinopteri; Cyprinodontiformes; Poeciliidae
Exons: 2
Source: RefSeq, a predicted model, not a curated record
GCUGGUUCUAAUGAAGACAAUUUACAAUGUAGACUGUGACUUUGUAAAGAAACACAUUCAAUCUUCUAAAAGUAAAAACAUUUCCAUAAAUCAGGGUAAUAAGAGACACAGAUAAGGUAACGUACCAGUGGGAUCCAGAGUCACAACCUCUGACAGGUUGCUGUAGGGGCCCUGACCGGCUUUGUUGACACAAGCCACUCUGAACCUGAAGGAGCCCCCUGCUGGCAGAAUCUGUCGAAGUCUGCAGACAGAAGAAUAACCGAAAAGUUUAAACCAGCUGGAAGUGAGACAAUCUGAGCUGGAUGAGGACCAAAGUUUAUCUUCCACCACGCACAGCGAGGAGGACGGUAACGGAGGCGAAAACAUCUCACCGUUGGAGAACUGCAGCAAAGUCUCCAUAACAACCAUUUAUUUAAAGGCUUUUGUGCACAUCUUUACCGGGAGAGCCGACGACUGUGGAGGAUGCUGUGCGUGACAAAGAUUUGUGAAUCUUUGUCUUCAGGAUCUGCUCUCAGUCGCUUGUUCAUGAUUCUCUGGUGUCAUUUUGAAAGUUUAGAUCCAUAAAUGGUUAUAAAUCAGUGUAUAAAUCACUAAAAAUCAUGAUGCUACCACCACUCAAUUUAAACCACAAUCAAGGUUUGUAUGUUUUCCAAAUAAAUAAAUAAUUACAUUAUAAAGU